AAUUAAUAGGGAGGCAAGAGACAACCUGGCGAACUGAAACAUCUUAGUAGCCAGAGGAAAAGAAAGCAAAAGCGAUUCCCUGAGUAGUGGCGAGCGAAAUGGGAACAGCCUAAACCGCCCAACUGGGCGGGGUUGUGGGAGAGCGACAUAAGCUACGAGUUACUAGACGAAGCAGCUGAGUCCUGCACCUUAGACGGUGAUAGUCCAGUAGUUGAAAGUAUCUCUAGCAAACGCUAUUACCCGAGUAGCAUGGGGCACGUGGAAUCCCGUGUGAAUCAGCGAGGACCACCUCGUAAGGCUAAAUACUCCUGGGUGACCGAUAGUGAAGUAGUACCGUGAGGGAAAGGUGAAAAGAACCCCCAUCGGGGAGUGAAAUAGAACAUGAAACCGUAAGCCUCCAAGCAGUGGGAGGAGAAUGGAAUCUCUGACCGCGUGCCUGUUGAAGAAUGAGCCGGCGACUUAUAGGUAGUGGCCUGGUUAAGGCGCUUAUAUCAAACGCCGGAGCCAUAGCGAAAGCGAGUCUUUCUAGGGCGAAUGUCACUACUUAUGGACCCGAACCCGGGUGAUCUAACCAUGGCCAGGGUGAAGCUUGGGUGAAGCCAAGUGGAGGUCCGAACCGACUGAUGUUGAAAAAUCAGCGGAUGAGCUGUGGUUAGGGGUGAAAUGCCACUCGAACUCGGAGCUAGCUGGUUCUCCCCGAAAUGCGUUGAGGCGCAGCGGUUGACUGGACUGCCUAGGGGUAAAGCACUGUUUCGGUGCGGGCUGCGAAAGCGGUACCAAAUCGAGGCAAACUCUGAAUACUAGGUUUUUUAUAACGGUCAGCCAGUAAGACGGUGGGGGAUAAGCUUCAUCGUCGAGAGGGAAACAGCCCAGACCACCAGCUAAGGCCCCUAAAUGACCGCUCAGUGGCAAAGGAGGUGAGAGUGCAAAGACAGCCAGGAGGUUUGCCUAGAAGCAGCCACCCUUGAAAGAGUGCGUAAUAGCUCACUGAUCGAGCGCUCUUGCGCCGAAGAUGAACGGGACUAAGCGGUCUGCCGAAGCUGUGGGAUGCCCUCUUCAAUGGAAGGAGGGCGUCGGUAGGGGAGCGUUCCGCAAAAGGGAGAAGCAUCAGUGCAAACAGGUGUGGACGAAGCGGAAGUGAGAAUGUCGGCUUGAGUAACGCAAACAUUGGUGAGAAUCCAAUGCCCCGAAAACCCAAGGGUUCCUCCGCAAGGCUCGUCCACGGAGGGUGAGUCAGGGCCUAAGAUCAUGCCGAACGGCGCAGUCGAUGGACAACAGGUCAAGAUUCCUGUACUGCCCCUUGUUGGCAAGAAGAGGGACGGAGGAGGCUAAGCUAGCCGAACAAUGGUCAUCGGUUCAAGGGCGUGUAAGCGCCUGAGUACUAGGCACCUACGGGGCCGAAGUAGCUGAUGCCACGCUCCCAAGAAAAGCUCUUACGCCAAUACUCCCUAAGGUUCGAAGAAUCACAUCUAAGACGCCGCAAAGCGUUAACUUCGUACCUACGGAGGUUGCGCUUCCACAGCGCGUUAUUGCUUCGUUGUAAACAACCUAUGGACCCGGAUGGCCAGUGGCCAUCCGGGUUCGAUGGUUGAACGAAGCAGGCGCGAAGUUUGUGGGGGAGCGAACAAAAAGAAGACAAGUGGGCACCUGUACCCGAAACCGACACAGGUGGGUAGGUUGAGAAUACCUAGGGGCGCGAGACAACUCUCUCUAAGGAACUCGGCAAGAUGGCCCCGUAACUUCGGGAGAAGGGGUGCCCCUCUGGGCCGCAGUGACCAGGCCCAGGCGACUGUUUACCAAAAACACAGGUCUCCGCAAAGUCGAAAGACGACGUAUGGGGGCUGACGCCUGCCCAGUGCCGGAAGGUUAAGGAAGUCGGUGACUCGAGUACGGGGAAGCUGGCGACCGAAGCCCCGGUGAACGGCGGCCGUAACUAUAACGGUCCUAAGGUUGAUUGUYCGUUCUAAAGAACAUCCGAAGACGCUAGCCUUAGUAAAACCAAACUAUAUGCUGGAAACUCCUCAAAAACUUAAUAACUACUCGUUGUAGUUUUUUGGUCCGCCAUUUCCAUUAAGAUACUGCGCACUGGUGCGAANACUUGCGAUAGGGCCAAGCCAAAAAAUAGAAACUGCAGCAGUCAAAAUGUUAAAGACACGGGGACAAUCAGCAGGAAAGAUUCAGAAGGUACUUCUGAAAAUCCUCAGAGACUAUACGUUUGGAGAUUUUCAUGAACUUAGAAACACAGUGGAUUGUUGGUUUUGUCGAUGGAGAAGGGUGUUUUCAUGUUGCUAUCAACAAGAAUAAAGAAACAGCUCUUGGAGUUCAAAUACAACCAGAAUUUACUGUCGUUCAGCACGAAAAAGAUAUCCAAGUUCUUUAUGCACUCAAAGAGUAUUUUGAAUGUGGAGUUGUUCGGCGAAAUCAUGGCGAUAGAUUUGCUUAUCGAGUUCGUGGUGCGAAGCAUCUUCGUGACAAGAUUAUUCCGUUCUUUGAAGAACACAAGUUGAAAACAAAGAAACGGAUUGACUUCGAAAAAUUCCGAAAGGUUGUUCUUAUGAUGGAACGUGGUGAGCAUCUCACCGAAGAUGGAGUCAAGGCAAUUCAAAAGAUUCAAGAAGAUAUGAAUCGAAAAGCCUAUAAAAAAGCCCUAUAAAUUUUGGAUCGACAGUAAGUUCCGUUUCUAGCUUCACUUCUGUUAGCGAGUUCUAGCUUUCUGCCCAUAAAUGGCCUUAUGGAGAAGAAGAGAAAAUCUAAGAUAGAGUCCAGCUUUUUGUGAAAGMAAAGAGAGAAACUGAGCGAAAUUCCUUGUCUGGUAAGUUCAGACCCGCACGAAAGGCGUAACGAUCUGGGCACUGUCUCGGAGAGAGGCUCGGUGAAAUAGACUUGUCUGUGAAGAUGCGGACUACCUGCACCUGGACAGAAAGACCCUAUGAAGCUUUACUGUUCCCUGGGAUGGGGUUUGGGCCCUUCUUGCGCAGUCUAGGUGGGAGGCGAAGACGGCGUCCUUCCGGGGACGCUCGAGCCGAAGAUGAGAGACCACCCUAGAAGGGCUAGGAUUCUAACCUUAUGCCUAGAAGAAGGCUAGGGGACAGUCCCAGGUAGACAGUUUCUAUGGGGCGUAGGCCUCCCAAAGGGUAACGGAGGCGUGCAAAGGUUUCCUCAGGCUGGACGGAAAUCAGCCUUCGAGUGCAAAGGCAGAAGGGAGCUUGACUGCAAGACCUACCCGUCGAGCAGGGACGAAAGUCGGCCUUAGUGAUCCGACGGUUCCGAGUGGAAGGGCCGUCGCUCAACGGAUAAAAGUUACUCUAGGGAUAACAGGCUGAUCUUCCCCAAGAGUUCACA
Molecule: ribosomal RNA, 3342 nt
Filed under: Cosmarium reniforme
Lineage: Eukaryota; Viridiplantae; Streptophyta; Zygnematophyceae; Desmidiales; Desmidiaceae
Description: bacterial LSU rRNA
Rfam family: Bacterial large subunit ribosomal RNA
Source: RNAcentral